RNAcentral lists this unclassified non-coding RNA (287 nucleotides) under uncultured fungus. Its description in RNAcentral is "partial contains 5.8S ribosomal RNA, internal transcribed spacer 2, and large subunit ribosomal RNA". Lineage: Eukaryota; Fungi. The record is from RNAcentral.
AACGCACCUUGCGCUCCUGGACUUGUUUCAGGAGCAUGCCUGUUUGAGUGUCAUGAAAUCAUCAACCACGAUGCUUCUUAGUGUCGCUGGCUUGGACUUGGGGAUCUGCUGGCUUGUCAAGAGUCGGCUUCCCUUGAAUGCAUUAGUCGGGUGCCUUGCUCGAGAAGUGUGAUAAUUAUCAUUCACUGAUCGUCGAGGAGCUUUGUCUCGGCUUCUAACCGCAUUGGAAACGAUGCAAUUUUGACACAUCUGACCUCAAAUCAGGUAGGACUACCCGCUGAACUUAA